Molecule: long non-coding RNA, 198 nt
Organism: Magallana angulata
Lineage: Eukaryota; Metazoa; Mollusca; Bivalvia; Ostreida; Ostreidae
Exons: 3
Source: RefSeq, a predicted model, not a curated record
GUGGGAACAAAGUCAGACAGAAAAACUACAUGCUACUUAGUCUCAUUACAGCAGGUCUUUUAUUGGUGUCUCUGUUGUUAUGUUCUUUACUACUUUAUUGUCAUUGUGAUGAAGUAAAAAAAGAAAGUGCAAAAAGCCAAGAUAAUAUGCCUUGCAGAGACGAUGAUACGUUAAAUGAGGAAAAUGGGAGAAGUACUG